GCAUUGGUGAUUCAGUGGUAGACUUCUCACCUUCCAUGCAGGAGACCUGGGUUGGAUUCCCAGCCAAUGCA
This 71-nucleotide transfer RNA is filed under the name Loxodonta africana (African savanna elephant). It matches the Rfam family "tRNA". From Rfam's summary of the family: Transfer RNA (tRNA) molecules are approximately 80 nucleotides in length. The record is from Rfam by way of RNAcentral. Lineage: Eukaryota; Metazoa; Chordata; Mammalia; Proboscidea; Elephantidae.